GUGACAGCCGCCGCGGUAAUACAGAGGGUGCGAGCGUUGUCCGGAAUUACUGGGCGUAAAGGGCGCGUAGGCGGCCUGAUAAGUAGGGGGUGAAAUUCCGUGGCUCAACCACGGAACUGCCUUCUAAACUGCCAGGCUUGAGCACGGUAGAGGCAGAUGGAAUUCCCGGUGUAGCGGUGGAAUGCGUAGGGAUCGGGAAGAACACCAGUGGCGAAGGCGGUCUGCUGGGCCGUUGCUGACGCUGAUGCGCGACAGCGUGGGGAGCAAACAGGAUUAGAAACCCUCGUAGUCC
RNAcentral lists this ribosomal RNA (292 nucleotides) under uncultured bacterium. Its description in RNAcentral is "partial 16S ribosomal RNA". It matches the Rfam family "Bacterial small subunit ribosomal RNA", at positions 505 to 796 of the family's 1533-position model. The record is from RNAcentral.